Molecule: non-coding RNA, 195 nt
Organism: Oryza brachyantha (malo sina)
Lineage: Eukaryota; Viridiplantae; Streptophyta; Magnoliopsida; Poales; Poaceae
Source: Rfam
AAUAACCUCAUUUUUCGUUUUUCCGUGUUCAACGUUUGAUCAUUCGUCUUAUUUGAAUUUUUUUGUGAUUAAUAUUUUUAUUAUUACUAGAUGAUAAAAUAUGAAUAGUACUUUAUAUGUGACUAAUUUUUUUAAUUUUUUGUACAAAUUUUUUAAAUAAGACGAAUGAUAAAGUGUUGGACACGGAAAAUAAAG